UUCCAGACUCCUACGGGAGGCAGCAGUGGGGAAUAUUGCACAAUGGGGGAAACCCUGAUGCAGCGACGCCGCGUGAGCGAUGAAGUAUUUCGGUAUGUAAAGCUCUAUCAGCAGGGAAGAAAAUGACGGUACCUGACUAAGAAGCCCCGGCUAACUACGUGCCAGCAGCCGCGGUAAUACGUAGGGGGCAAGCGUUAUCCGGAUUUACUGGGUGUAAAGGGAGCGUAGACGGCUGUGCAAGCCAGAUGUGAAAGCCCGGGGCUCAACCCCGGGACUGCAUUUGGAACUGUGUGGCUGGAGUGUCGGAGAGGCAGGCGGAAUUCCUAGUGUAGUGGUGAAAUGCGUAGAUAUUAGGAGGAACACCAGUGGCGAAGGCGGCCUGCUGGACGAUGACUGACGUUGAGGCUCGAAAGCGUGGGGAGCAAACAGGAUUAGAUACCCCUGUA
This 446-nucleotide ribosomal RNA is filed under the name uncultured bacterium. RNAcentral's name for it is "bacterial SSU rRNA". It matches the Rfam family "Bacterial small subunit ribosomal RNA", at positions 329 to 792 of the family's 1533-position model. The record is from RNAcentral.